UCCAGACUCCUAGGGAGGCAGCAGUGGGGAAUAUUGCACAAUGGGGGAAACCCUGAUGCAGCGACGCCGCGUGAGUGAAGAAGUAUUUCGGUAUGUAAAGCUCUAUCAGCAGGGAAGAAAAUGACGGUACCUGAUUAAGAAGCCCCGGCUAACUACGUGCCAGCAGCCGCGGUAAUACGUAGGGGGCAAGCGUUAUCCGGAUUUACUGGGUGUAAAGGGAGCGUAGACGGCGAAGCAAGUCUGAAGUGAAAAACCAGGGCUCAACCCUGGGACUGCUUUGGAAACUGUUUUGCUAGAGUGUCGGAGAGGUAAGUGGAAUUCCUAGUGUAGCGGUGAAAUGCGUAGAUAUUAGGAGGAACACCAGUGGCGAAGGCGGCUUACUGGACGAUAACUGACGUUGAGGCUCGAAAGCGUGGGUAGCAAACAGGAUUAGAUACCCGUGUAGA
Molecule: ribosomal RNA, 446 nt
Filed under: uncultured bacterium
Lineage: Bacteria
Description: bacterial SSU rRNA
Rfam family: Bacterial small subunit ribosomal RNA
Source: RNAcentral